CACACCGCCCGUCACACCACGGGAGUCGAUUGUACCUGAAGUCGGUGGGCUAACCCGCAAGGGAUGCAGCCGCCUAUGGUAUGGUCGGUGACUGGGGGUG
RNAcentral lists this ribosomal RNA (100 nucleotides) under uncultured bacterium. RNAcentral describes it as "partial 16S ribosomal RNA". It matches the Rfam family "Bacterial small subunit ribosomal RNA", at positions 1386 to 1482 of the family's 1533-position model. The record is from RNAcentral.